GACGAACCGAGCGAACGUUGUUCGGAAUCACUGGGCUUAAAGGGUGCGCAGGCGGUUCUGCAAGUCAGGCGUGAAAUCCCCGGGCUUAACCUGGGAAUGGCGCUUGAAACUACGGGACUGGAGUAUGGCAGAGGGAGGUGGAAUUCCACGUGUAGCGGUGAAAUGCGUAGAGAUGUGGAGGAACACCGAUGGCGAAGGCAGCCUCCUGGGCCAAUACUGACGCUCAUGCACGAAAGCGUGGGGAGCAAACAGG
RNAcentral lists this ribosomal RNA (253 nucleotides) under uncultured bacterium. Its description in RNAcentral is "partial 16S ribosomal RNA". It matches the Rfam family "Bacterial small subunit ribosomal RNA", at positions 524 to 776 of the family's 1533-position model. The record is from RNAcentral.